RNAcentral lists this long non-coding RNA (399 nucleotides) under Homo sapiens (human). Its description in RNAcentral is "non-protein coding LINC02076:12". Lineage: Eukaryota; Metazoa; Chordata; Mammalia; Primates; Hominidae. The record is from RNAcentral.
CGGAAGACUGCGGGGAGAGGGGGAGGAGGGGACGGAGAGGGUGGGAAAGACCUUGGAAAGUGGGAUGGGGAGAAAGGUGGGGAAGAAGACAGUGGGGAGAAAGUGCAGGGAGAAGACAGUGUGGUAGAGAAGACAGUGGAGGAAAACGGUGAGGAGAAAGGAGGGUCAUGGGAACAUACAGAGACCUACAGGGAAGACGGCCAUGGGACAAGGGAGGCAGAGUCUGGAGUUACGCUGCCUACAGUCACGGAAUGCCAAGGACAGCUGGAAACCACCAGAAGCUAAGAAGGAGAUUUUACCUGAAAGCCUCUCAAAGAAAUCAAUCAUACUCACACCUCCUUUUUGAAUUUCUGGCCUCGUGAAUGGUGAAAAAAUAAAUUUCUGUCGUCUUAAGCCCCA